This is a small nucleolar RNA of Acanthochromis polyacanthus (spiny chromis), 184 nucleotides long. Lineage: Eukaryota; Metazoa; Chordata; Actinopteri; Pomacentridae. The record is from Ensembl.
CCCUUCUCUUUAAAGCACCCUGCUAAAACUGCAGGAGCCAAGCCUCUCAGGCUUAGCUCAUGUGGCCAUGUAAGCAUGGGUACACCAGGGAAGGAGAACAAAGGCACAGUAUCGGAAAUGAGGCUUGGAGGGACCUCUUUCUUAAUGUCCAGUUUCCUUUGUCUCAAGAUCCUGUGUUACACAU